GAUUAAGUUAUUAAGGGCGCACGGUGGAUGCCUUGGCACUAGAAGCCGAUGAAGGACGUUACUAACGACGAUAUGCUUUGGGGAGCUGUAAGUAAGCUUUGAUCCAGAGAUUUCCGAAUGGGGAAACCCAGCAUGAGUUAUGUCAUGUUAUCGAUAUGUGAAUACAUAGCAUAUCAGAAGGCACACCCGGAGAACUGAAACAUCUUAGUACCCGGAGGAAGAGAAAGAAAAUUCGAUUCCCUUAGUAGCGGCGAGCGAAACGGGAAGAGCCCAAACCAACAAGCUUGCUUGUUGGGGUUGUAGGACACUCUAUACGGAGUUACAAAGGACGACAUUAGACGAAUCAUCUGGAAAGAUGAAUCAAAGAAGGUAAUAAUCCUGUAGUCGAAAAUGUUGUCUCUCUUGAGUGGAUCCUGAGUACGACGGAGCACGUGAAAUUCCGUCGGAAUCUGGGAGGACCAUCUCCUAAGGCUAAAUACUCUCUAGUGACCGAUAGUGAACCAGUACCGUGAGGGAAAGGUGAAAAGCACCCCGGAAGGGGAGUGAAAUAGAACCUGAAACCGUGUGCUUACAAGUAGUCAGAGCCCGUUAAUGGGUGAUGGCGUGCCUUUUGUAGAAUGAACCGGCGAGUUACGAUUUGAUGCAAGGUUAAGCAGUAAAUGUGGAGCCGUAGCGAAAGCGAGUCUGAAUAGGGCGUUUAGUAUUUGGUCGUAGACCCGAAACCAGGUGAUCUACCCUUGGUCAGGUUGAAGUUCAGGUAACACUGAAUGGAGGACCGAACCGACUUACGUUGAAAAGUGAGCGGAUGAACUGAGGGUAGCGGAGAAAUUCCAAUCGAACCUGGAGAUAGCUGGUUCUCUCCGAAAUAGCUUUAGGGCUAGCCUCAAGUGAUGAUUAUUGGAGGUAGAGCACUGUUUGGACGAGGGGCCCCUCUCGGGUUACCGAAUUCAGACAAACUCCGAAUGCCAAUUAAUUUAACUUGGGAGUCAGAACAUGGGUGAUAAGGUCCGUGUUCGAAAGGGAAACAGCCCAGACCACCAGCUAAGGUCCCAAAAUAUAUGUUAAGUGGAAAAGGAUGUGGCGUUGCCCAGACAACUAGGAUGUUGGCUUAGAAGCAGCCAUCAUUUAAAGAGUGCGUAAUAGCUCACUAGUCGAGUGACACUGCGCCGAAAAUGUACCGGGGCUAAACAUAUUACCGAAGCUGUGGAUUGUCCUUUGGACAAUGGUAGGAGAGCGUUCUAAGGGCGUUGAAGCAUGAUCGUAAGGACAUGUGGAGCGCUUAGAAGUGAGAAUGCCGGUGUGAGUAGCGAAAGACGGGUGAGAAUCCCGUCCACCGAUUGACUAAGGUUUCCAGAGGAAGGCUCGUCCGCUCUGGGUUAGUCGGGUCCUAAGCUGAGGCCGACAGGCGUAGGCGAUGGAUAACAGGUUGAUAUUCCUGUACCACCUAUAAUCGUUUUAAUCGAUGGGGGGACGCAGUAGGAUAGGCGAAGCGUGCGAUUGGAUUGCACGUCUAAGCAGUAAGGCUGAGUAUUAGGCAAAUCCGGUACUCGUUAAGGCUGAGCUGUGAUGGGGAGAAGACAUUGUGUCUUCGAGUCGUUGAUUUCACACUGCCGAGAAAAGCCUCUAGAUAGAAAAUAGGUGCCCGUACC
This 1649-nucleotide ribosomal RNA is filed under the name Staphylococcus aureus. RNAcentral describes it as "partial 23S ribosomal RNA". It matches the Rfam family "Bacterial large subunit ribosomal RNA", at positions 1 to 1648 of the family's 2925-position model. Lineage: Bacteria; Bacillati; Bacillota; Bacilli; Caryophanales; Staphylococcaceae. The record is from RNAcentral.